AUACGGAGGGUGCAAGCGUUAUUCGGAAUCACUGGGCGUAAAGCGUACGUAGGCGGCUUGUCAAGUUGGAUGUGAAAUCCCACAGCUUAACUGUGGAACUGCGUCCAAAACUGGCAGGCUCGAGAACAGUAGGGGACAGUGGAACUCCAGGUGGAGCGGUGAAAUGCGUAGAGAUCUGGAGGAACACCGGUGGCAAAAGCGACUGUCUGGGUUGUUUCUGACGCUGAGGUACGAAAGCUAGGGGAGCGAACGGGAUUAGAAACCCCAGUAGUCC
This 274-nucleotide ribosomal RNA is filed under the name uncultured bacterium. Its description in RNAcentral is "partial 16S ribosomal RNA". It matches the Rfam family "Bacterial small subunit ribosomal RNA", at positions 523 to 796 of the family's 1533-position model. The record is from RNAcentral.